CUGAGGAUGUGGGACGAGGACCCCCACUGUCUCUGAGUACAGGGCCUCAGACCUAAGGCAGGAGCACCCCCUACGCCAGACCUCCUGGGUCACAGGAAAUGCACAGACAUUGGGAAGGGGCAGAGGACGGAUGGAGGAAGGAUGUGCAGUUGCAGCUCUUUCUGCAGAUGCCCUGAGAGAGGAGCAAGAAGGUCCUCGCCAGAUGCUCCUGGACUUGCUUUGGACUUUCCCUUGCUCUUGACUUCACAGCCUCUAGAACUUUGAGAAAUAAAUUUCCGUUUGGUAUAAA
This 289-nucleotide long non-coding RNA is filed under the name Pongo abelii (Sumatran orangutan). RNAcentral's name for it is "lincRNA". Lineage: Eukaryota; Metazoa; Chordata; Mammalia; Primates; Hominidae. The record is from RNAcentral.